UUAGUGAUCAUUUGCCUCUGAAACAAAUCUAGAAAAAUCUGGUUCAUCACCAUCUAUCUGGAGACAUAAGAGAUAAAAUAACGAACAGAGUAUAACAAUAAUGAAUGUAGCAGCCUUAUUAUUAUAUUCCAUUAUCUAGAGGAUAUGAGAUGUGCAUACUUAAAAUGACUACACAGAUGUAGUUCCCAUAUUUGUGAGAAGUCAGGUAUUCUGUCUUUAAGACUCAGUUAUUUCUGCGAUAACCACCGAUUCUCUCUUUUGCAGUUGAAAUUCCAACAAGGUAAAGGCUCCCUCUGUAGGAGUGUGACUGAAAAUGCUCCUGGGCAACAGAAAAGCAACAGAAGAAAAUGUUUUAUAAAGCAAUGUGUUUUCCUAGAGACUUAACAUUUCCUUUUUAAAGUAGGAAACAUUUUAUGCAUUACCUAUACUAAAGAAAGAAGCAUUAGGACUGAUAUGUAUGCAGCUAUAGCUCCAGUGCUUUCUAACCUGUCAGAGACUAAAUAUUAUGUAUGGGGCACAAAAGAAGUUGAGACUGAAUAAGCUGCAAAUAACACUCUCUGCUUUAGGUAACAUUUAUGAGAAGUUUGCUGAAGAACAUCCUCUGAUGAAUAAGGUGAAGUGAAAAAUGAAUUGCAGGUAUCUCUGUAAUAGAAUGAAACAUGAUUUCAGCCAAAGGAUCUUUAUGGAGACAAGAAAAUUCAAAGAGGAACAUGCUUGCAAAGUAUCCUCGUAACCUGUGCUUUUAUAAAGUUUACCACAAUCCAGAUUCAUUAUCUGUCCCACUGGGUAGAACACUUAAAGAAAAAAAAAGUGCUUUAUCAUGAGGCCCUGAGCAAAUACAAGCUGGGGCUCACUUGGAUCUCUUCCACUAGGGUGUUCCAAACAUUCUAGUCUAGUCUAGUCUAAACAGCAGUGUAGUUGCUUUGCCUCUCGCCUUAGAAAGUUGGAAUUCCCAGCACCCUCAGUUGGGGUUGCUGGAUGGUGAGCACUUUUGAAAGUCUGUCCACUUAAAAGUAUGUGACUAGAUGGCCACUGAACUCUUUUGGAAAUCUGGCCACUUAUUUAGAUGCCUAAGUAGAAGCUAUUGGGUGCUGAGCUAGGUGGAAAAUCUAGCCCUGAGUCCACAAUGAGUGCAGAUGCCAGAUUCAGCUCCAUGGUGAAGCUGAGUUUUGCAUUUAAAACCUCUUCAUAUAUAAUAAAUAUGACACAUCUCCCCCCCA
RNAcentral lists this long non-coding RNA (1220 nucleotides) under Chrysemys picta bellii (western painted turtle). RNAcentral describes it as "lncRNA (ENSCPBG00000010341.1)". Lineage: Eukaryota; Metazoa; Chordata; Testudines; Emydidae. The record is from RNAcentral.